RNAcentral lists this unclassified non-coding RNA (425 nucleotides) under Hevea brasiliensis (rubber tree). Lineage: Eukaryota; Viridiplantae; Streptophyta; Magnoliopsida; Malpighiales; Euphorbiaceae. The record is from RNAcentral.
UAUUAUUAUUAUUAUUAUUAUUGGCAAGUCUAAUUGGACUGACCGCCGAUUUUGAUCUGGUUCAGUUCAUGAUUUAAGAUAGAGGGACCAAGACUGGCCCUCCUAAUUGCAGGUUCUGGGCAUGUUGAAACCAUGGUCAGUCAAUAGUUCCAAGCUUGAGUUUGUCAGGUCCAGUUACUGUUCUGACCUUGCUGAUCAUGAAUAACCUGUACAUAUUUGUUUUCAAUAAACCAUAACUAACUCCAUAGAUUGGUAGCAUUGUUCACAUUUGUCCAAUAGAGUAAUGAGUAGCAAUCUUGCAUUGUUAACGCAUAUAGCUUCUGUGAGCACUCUAAAAUGUUUCUGGAGCUACAAUAACAGUGUUUGUGUGUGAAAUUUUUAUGACAUUUCUUCUCUUCUUUAGGUGGCAAGAACAGGGCGAAUAG